GAUGAAGAACGUAGCGAAAUGCGAUAAGUAAUGUGAAUUGCAGAAUUCAGUGAAUCAUCGAAUCUUUGAACGCACAUUGCGCCCGCCAGCAUUCUGGCGGGCAUGCCUGUUCGAGCGUCAUUUCAACCCUCGAGCCCCCCCGGGGGCCUCGGUGUUGGGGGACGGCACACCAGCCGCCCCCGAAAUGCAGUGGCGACCUCGCCGCAGCCUCCACUGCGUAGUAGCACACACCUCGCACCGGAGCGCGGAGACGGUCACGCCGUAAAACGCCCAACUUCUUAGAGUUGACCUCGGAUCAGGUAGGAAUACCCGCUGAACUUAAGCAUAUCAAUAAGCAGAGGA
Molecule: unclassified non-coding RNA, 342 nt
Filed under: soil metagenome
Description: partial contains 5.8S ribosomal RNA, internal transcribed spacer 2, and large subunit ribosomal RNA
Rfam family: 5.8S ribosomal RNA (bases 1-120)
Source: RNAcentral